AUGCGUCGCAAAAACCUCUUAAAGAACUCUGACAACCCACAAUACCAUACAGUCCCAAAGCUGCAGCUGCAACGACCUUCUGCUGUGGCCACAUUCCCAAGACUGCAUGCACAGCAAGCACUUACAGUGUGCAGAUGCAACCAUCAGCUGCCAGCUCACUUCUGCUGUUCUCUAAGCUCCUUCCAAAUCUCAGCAUCUUCCCCAUUAAAGGCAACCAAGACUGCAGUAAAAGUUUCUGCUGACUCGAAUAAAAGAACAGUGUCUCAUUGCAAGAAGCAGAACUAGCUGCUUCCAGACCAAACUGGAAUUUUACAAUGGGAUUUAUUGACAUGUUCAGUAAAACCAAAGGAUUCUGCAAGACAUAACUGCUACUAAAGGCAUUGCACUUUUCUCCAAAAAAAAA
Molecule: long non-coding RNA, 403 nt
Filed under: Meleagris gallopavo (turkey)
Lineage: Eukaryota; Metazoa; Chordata; Aves; Galliformes; Phasianidae
Description: lncRNA (ENSMGAG00000018440.1)
Source: RNAcentral